This 1337-nucleotide long non-coding RNA is filed under the name Macaca fascicularis (crab-eating macaque). Its description in RNAcentral is "lncRNA (ENSMFAG00000050352.1)". The record is from RNAcentral. Lineage: Eukaryota; Metazoa; Chordata; Mammalia; Primates; Cercopithecidae.
GAUGGAGUCUCACUCUGUUGCCCAGGCUGGGGUGCAAUGGUGCAAUCUCAGCUCGCUGCAACCUGCUUCCUGGGUUCAAGCGAUUCUCCUGCCUCAGCCUCCUGAGCAGCUGGGAUUACAGGCACCUGCCACCACGCCCAACUGAUUUUGUAUUUUUAGUAGAGAUGGAGUUUCACCAUGUUGGCCAGGCAGGUCUCAAACUCCUGACCUCAAGUGAUUCACCUGUCUCAGCCUCCCAAAGUGCUGGGAUUACAGGCGUGAGCCACUGUGCCUGGCUAGUUACUUGAAUUUGUGAACCUAAACUUCCAGUUUAGGAUUUGUUUCCCUCAGCCCUGAUGAUCAGCUCUCACUUUACCGCUGCUUUUUAACUUUUCUAAUUUUGCUGUUACUUUUUUCUCCAUCUUUGGGGAAUUUAUACUUUUGUUAUUGGAGAGAUUUUAAAAUAUUUGUAUUACCAUUCCUCAAAUCUCAGACCAUCCUUUUGGGAUAAUUUUCCUCCACCCUGAACUACAUCCUUUAGAAAUUUUCAGUGUCAUUAUCUUGGUAUUAAGAUUCUUCAGUUUCUGUUAAUCUGAAAAUGUCUGCAUUUUGCCCUCAUUCUUGAAAGAUGUUGCUGAGUUCUCAGCCCUGGGUUGACAGUUAAUUUCUCUCAACAUUUCAAAAGUAUUAUCUAACUGCCUUCUGACUCCCUUUGGGCAGUUAGGAAGUAGCUGUCAUUCAACAGAUGUUCCUUUGUAAGCAAUCUGUACAUUCCUUUGGGUCCUUUGAAGCUUUUUUCUUUGUGUUUAGUGUUCACCAGUUUCAAUAUACUGUGCAUGGGCAGCGACUGCUUUCGUUUCUCCUCUUUGGAAUAUAUUGUGCUUUCUGUUUCUGGAGAUAGCUUUUAAUUUUAACCAGUGCUGUAAAUUUGCACUAUUUUCUCUUUAAACAUUGUCUCUUCUCCACUCUCCCUAUUAUCUCCCUUAGAGUCUCUGAUUUAAAACAUUUUAGAACUUUCCAUCUUGUCUUCCAUAUCUUUGUGAAAUUUCCCAUUUCCUGUCUCUCUGUGCUGCAUUCUGCCUGAUACCUUCAGCUAGAUCUUCCAGUUCACUAAUUCUUCGUUCAGCUAUGCUAAUUAGCUCUCCAACUCUCUGACUAAGGCUUCCUCGUUUUAUAAUUUUUCCUUUCCAAAUGUAUCUGUUUCUAAUCCCCCUUGUUGGUUGUUCAUUUUUGUUCUAUUUUAUAUUACAUUUCUGACAAGUUAAUUAUCUGAGAGCUUGGGUGUCUGAAUCUGUUCCCUUUUUUUUUUUUUUUUCCCCCUGGCUUUCAAUUAUAGCGACUUGUUUUCUUGUUUAUUU